GGACGGACGCUGGCGGCGUGCUUAACACAUGCAAGUCGAGGGGGGCUCGGGGGGCAACUCCGGGUCACCGGCGAACGGGUGCGUAACACGUGAGCGACCUGCCGAUCUGCGGGGGAUAGGCCGGCCCAACGGCCGGGUAAUACCGCAUACGUUCUCUUGGGGGCAUCCCUGAGAGAGGAAACCUCCGGGGCGAUCGGAGGGCUCGCGGCCUAUCAGCUAGGUUGGGGGGUAACGGCCUCCCAAGGCGACGACGGGUAGCUGGUCUGAGAGGAUGGCCAGCCACAUUGGACUGAGAGACGGCCCAGACUCCUACGGGAGGCAGCA
This 324-nucleotide ribosomal RNA is filed under the name uncultured bacterium. RNAcentral's name for it is "partial 16S ribosomal RNA". It matches the Rfam family "Bacterial small subunit ribosomal RNA", at positions 27 to 353 of the family's 1533-position model. The record is from RNAcentral.